Syzygium oleosum is the source of this 1769-nucleotide long non-coding RNA. RefSeq lists it as uncharacterized. The transcript is spliced from 3 exons. The record is from RefSeq and is a predicted model, not a curated record. Lineage: Eukaryota; Viridiplantae; Streptophyta; Magnoliopsida; Myrtales; Myrtaceae.
GUUUGUUUCGUUUUCUCAAAUUUAUCUCUUGCUCUUUGAAACAAAAUGGUAAGCUUCAUGAUGUACGUCAUUAUGUGUUCAUGUUUUUUAAGAUAUUUGUCUAACCUUCCUAUUUGUCAGUAUAAACGUGGAGGUCACAUGCAUGGUGUAGUUUCACAAAGAAGAGCAGCGCCUUCCCCUUCCUCGUCCUCAUCCCCGUCCCUUUCCUCUUCUCCUGCCAUUUCAUGUUUCCCUCAACCACUACAUGCUGAUGGACAACAUGGACACAUUGGCCCUUCCUCCGACCCCCAAGAACAUAUUAGGGGGCAAAUUGGAAACAUGCGAAUUGAAUCUACUUCAGUUCCAUGUCCUUCGGUUCCACCUUCUUCUUCAGUGCAACACUCGAAUGAUGAGGGAAACACAAGUGAAGAAGAUAGUCGAUUCAUGAUAUGCCUAUUUGGAGAUUCAGAAGUACUUCAUUUUUUUUAAUUAUGUGUUAUUUAGGUUUUUAGAUUUUAGUCAACUGAAUUGUCCAUGUUGCAAAUUAUUCGUAUGCUUCAUUGUUUCAUUGUCCAUAUCAUUCUUUCUAACCUGUUUGCAGAUUCAUGGAUGUUACGUAUGUUGUGAGGCAACUUAAUAAAAUAGUCAAUAACUCUUGGAGGGUGCAGUAUAUUAGUUAUAGCAGCGCUCCGAAAGAAGUAAAGGGUUUGUGGUGGAAUAAGUUCAAGCGGAAGUUCAGGUGGGAUGAAAUGGAAGAGGAUGAAGUUAAAAGAAUUUUUAAGAAGAAAGCUGGUGAUCAUAUACGAAAUGUGAUGAAUAAAGCAAAGAUAAGUCAAGUAAAGCCAGAUUUUAUUAUGGGUAACAAUUGGACCGAAAUUAAGAGAACUUGGGAAACUAAAAAGAAUAAGCAAAUGAGUGAACAGAAUAAGAAUAAUCGAGCUUCUAGUUCUAGUGAAGGGUCUGCCACAUGCUGGGGGUUUUAUCAACAUCGGGGAGCAUAGAAAAAGAAUGGUAAGUCUGUUGAACAUGUUGUAAGUUAAUUUAAUUCAAUUACUCAUUUAUGUUUAUAUUUUGUAGGCAGAUGAAUUGGGGACGGAACCGACAUAUAUAGCUACAUUUGAACGCACAUUUCAAAAAAAAAGAUAAGACAUGGACUGGCGAUCGAGCAAAAGCUAUUAAGGAAAAAUAUGAUGAACUUUUAAUGAGCAGUGGUAGUGGUAGUGGUAGUGGUGGUGAUGGUGUUGCUGCGUUUGAGCCAUCAGUUGACAGUAUGGCAUUAUGGGCGGAGGCAUCGGGUGGGAUGAAAAAAGGAAAAAUAUUUGGGCCAUCCUUGUCAAGGGUAUACACAACGCAGGCUGCUGCAACUUCAUCCUCUAAUGCGGCUGUUUCAAGGAAGACACGACUUGAGGAGCAAAUGACCCAAGAAUUGAGCCAACUGAAACAUUUACUUGUAGAGAAGGACGAAGAAAUAAGAGUGGUCAAAUAACAAAUGCAAUUGAUCUUGCGACAUCUCAACCUCGAUCAUGAUGAGGUUCCUUCUAUAUCUCCGACUAAUCUAAUAGGUGAUGGGCACAAUGAUGAGCGACAUGAUGAUGAUGACAUUGCUGAUGAUGAUGAUGAUUUUCUCGAUCCUUAGUCCUUGCUAGUUAAAUUUUCCAUUUUUAAGCACUAAAUUUUGAGCACUAUGUAUUUCAUCAUCAUAUCAUUAUGUAUUUAAGCACUAAAUUUUGAUGUUAUUAAGUGCUUAAUCAUUAUUAAAUAUAAAUUCUAGAAAUUAAUUUUGCUUUUAA